AACGCACCUUGCGCUCCCUGGUAUUCCUAGGAGCAUGCCUGUUUGAGUGUCGUGAACAUAUCAACCCCAUAAGGAUUUUGGUCUCUAUGGUGGCUUGGAUUUGGGGGCUUGCUGGUCAUUAAUUUGGUCGGCUCUCCUUAAAUGCAUUAGCUUUGGACUUGUUCUGUAGGCUGCUUGGCGUGAUAAUUAUCUACGCUUUGCAAUCGUCUGUGGAAUAUUAUAGGUCUGGCUUCUAAUCGUCCUCUGGACAUUGUAAAUUCGUUUUGACCUCAAAUCAGGUAGGACUACCCGCUGAACUUAA
RNAcentral lists this unclassified non-coding RNA (301 nucleotides) under uncultured Peniophorella. Its description in RNAcentral is "sequence contains ITS2". The record is from RNAcentral. Lineage: Eukaryota; Fungi; Basidiomycota; Agaricomycetes; Corticiales; Corticiaceae.